This is a non-coding RNA of Gymnothorax javanicus (giant moray), 70 nucleotides long. The record is from the annotation of a GenBank genome assembly. Lineage: Eukaryota; Metazoa; Chordata; Actinopteri; Anguilliformes; Muraenidae.
ACUGAUGUAGCGUAGUGGUUAAGAUGACGGACUGUAACUCAGGUGACCAGGGUUCAAUCCCUGAUCAGGA